This is a non-coding RNA of Pelobates cultripes (western spadefoot toad), 1086 nucleotides long. The record is from the annotation of a GenBank genome assembly. NCBI's taxonomy places the organism in Eukaryota, Metazoa, Chordata, Amphibia, Anura, Pelobatidae.
UAGAAGAGUUAGAAAGACAAACAUGGUGACAUUGGUCGCUCAGUAAUCAGUGUAGAUCCUGUAAUUCAAAUCAGCAGCUACAUCUGGCUACUGGGUCUCUAAAGUCACUGUCCCAUCUUUUCCUCGCAUGUGAGAAAACAAAUGGUGCAUCAGCAAGUAAGAAACUCCUCAACAAAUAUGAUUUACCCAUUUUACCUCUAAAAGCUAGAAAAACUGCUGGGAUCUUAUUAAUCGGGUAUGUUCAAUGUAUUGCUUUGCCGUCAGAAAAUUACAAGAACUUGACGUAGUCGAUGAAUAUCCAAGUUUCGGCAUGCACCUGGCAUACAAUGUAGACAUCUGUAUUUAUUAAGAAACAGCUACAUUGUCUGCUGGGUUUCAAGCUCAAUGGAAUUGUUCUCCAGUGCACUCAGUCAAAAAGAACAGGACACCGGUAAGUUGUAAAGCAUUCAAUAAUAUACAAGCUGUUAUUUAAAUUAAAUAUGCUAUGUAUCCAUAUGACAGAGGUUGAAAGUGACAUUCCAAUGCCUAAAUAAAAAAAGUUUAGUAGAUUUACCACAAAUUAAACCAUGCAUGCAUUUGAUUAAGCAUUUUUUCAUUUGCAAAACCUGCAGUUCACUUGCCUGAUGCUUUUCUAAGCCCUCCUCUGCUUCCACAGCCCAGACUUUGUGACUGUCCAAUUACAGACUUUCCAUUGCAGCUCAAUGAGACGUCUUUGCAAAGUUGUUGUUUUGAGCAAUUGCCUGCUUCUUGAGUUUAGCUCCAUUAAGUAACAAGAAGUAACAGGAGCAGUUAUUAAUUUAUAAAAGUUACAAUUUCCAUUGAAAUCUGCACUCUUUGUAAAAAAAAAAGAGGACACACUCUCUACACCUAAAGCACUUCAGCAAGCUACAGUGGGUACUGGAGUGUCCCUUUAAAAAUCCUGAAAAUGCCAGAGAAAGAUGUGCUGUGUCAUUGGGAGGUCUCAGGCUUUGUAUCAUUUUACUUUGUAUAUCGUAAUUAACUGGUUUAAUUUCUUUGUAUUAGGUUUUCAAAUGAUGAUGUACGUUUCACUAUUGCAUUAUUAAAUAAAAUUAUUCAGAAAACAUA